Molecule: ribosomal RNA, 253 nt
Filed under: uncultured bacterium
Lineage: Bacteria
Description: partial 16S ribosomal RNA
Rfam family: Bacterial small subunit ribosomal RNA
Source: RNAcentral
UACGAAGGUCCCGAGCGUUGUUCGGAAUCACUGGGCGUAAAGGGUGCGUAGGUGGCGCCGUAAGUCGGGUGUGAAAUUUCGGAGCUUAACUCCGAAACUGCAUUCGAUACUGCGGUGCUUGAGGACUGGAGAGGAGACUGGAAUUCAUGGUGUAGCAGUGAAAUGCGUAGAGAUCAUGAGGAAGACCAGUGGCGAAGGCGGGUCUCUGGACAGUUCCUGACACUGAGGCACGAAGGCCAGGGGAGCAAACGGG